Molecule: ribosomal RNA, 491 nt
Filed under: uncultured bacterium
Lineage: Bacteria
Description: partial 16S ribosomal RNA
Rfam family: Bacterial small subunit ribosomal RNA
Source: RNAcentral
UUGAACGCUGGCGGCAUGCUUUACACAUGCAAGUCGAGCGGUAACAGGCCUUCGGGUGCUGACGAGUGGCGAACGGGUGAGUAAUGCAUCGGAACGUACCCAGAGGUGGGGGAUAACGCAGCGAAAGCUGUGCUAAUACCGCAUGUGAUCUGAGGAUGAAAGCGGGGGACCGAGCAGCAAUGUUUGGCCUCGCGCCUUUGGAGCGGCCGAUGUCGGAUUAGCUAGUUGGUGGGGUAAAGGCCUACCAAGGCGACGAUCCGUAGCUGGUCUGAGAGGACGACCAGCCACACUGGGACUGAGACACGGCCCAGACUCCUACGGGAGGCAGCAGUGGGGAAUUUUGGACAAUGGGCGCAAGCCUGAUCCAGCAAUGCCGCGUGCGGGAAGAAGGCCUUCGGGUUGUAAACCGCUUUUGGCAGGAACGAAACGGUGUCCGCUAAUACCGGGCGCUAAUGACGGUACCUGCAGAAUAAGCACCGGCUAACUACGUG